This is a long non-coding RNA of Ictalurus punctatus (channel catfish), 1722 nucleotides long. The record is from Ensembl. Lineage: Eukaryota; Metazoa; Chordata; Actinopteri; Siluriformes; Ictaluridae.
CGUUAGAGUGUGUGGCCGAUAUAAAAACGCUCUCUCUCUCUCUCUCUCUCUCUCUCUCUCUCUCUCUCUGAGGAAUCACAAAAAACGUGAAGAACAGCAUUCCUUCAGAAAGGGACACACUUUACUUCAUAGUGUAUCAUAUGACUGAUCACAUAACAUACUGCUUAGAGAGAGAGAGAGAGAGAGAGAGAGAGAGAGUGUGUGUGUGUGUGUGUGUGUGUGUGUGUGUGUGUGUGUAUACACUGGAGAAUUUAAGGAAGUGGGGUCAGGUGCUUGACAGGUGGCCGAGUCCCAGAGCGAGAGAGAGAGAGAGAGAGAGAGAGAGAGAGGAAUGAGGGGAAUGAGGGGAAUGAGGGGUUAUUGGCAAUAGAGAGAGACACGCAGAGAGAAAAGAAGACCCCAGAGUGAUUAUUGCCACGUGGCCGAGUCCCAGAUCUGACCCGAGAGAGACAGAGAGUGAGAGAGAGAGAGAGAGACAGAGAUAUAGAAAGAGUAAGACAGAUAGGGAGCAGUGAGCAGCUGUGGAUGUAAUUCGUCUAACACACUGCUUGUGCUCUGAUUAAGCAAGCGCUCCGGCCUCUAAUUUCCUCCUGACACUGGCUAAUGCUCUAUAUCUCAAUCACACACACACACACACACACACACACACACACACACACACACACACACACACACACACACACACCUGGUCACCUGCCCAUUAGAUGGUGGCCUUAGAUCAGAGCCAGAGGCACUUGAAAAAGUGUGUGUGUGUGUGAGAGAGAGAGAGAGAGAGAGAGAGAGAUUGACAGCCACAGCAGCAGUAGCAGUAGCGCCACUGAAUCCCAUCAGAGAGUCUCUCUCUCUCUCACACACACACAUUCAGCAUUUUCGCACGCCUCUGACCUCAUAUGGGUCAUGAGCGAGUCUCUCUCGCUCUCGCUCUCGCUCUCUCUCUUGCUCUCUUUCUGUCUGACCAACAUGUUGACAACUUUCUACUCAUUACCGACGAUCCACGGCUUUUAAAAUCCAAGACUAAUCAAAUUUCACUGCUCGAUUUUGGAAAUUGGAAUAAUCGUAAGUGCACGAAAUUGUUUUGCACGGUCUUUCGCCAUGAUGUUUGUUGGUAAAUGAGACCUUUUAGCUGUACUCACGUUUGACGCACGUGAGUCGAACAGGGCUUUGGCUGAAUGUGGGUUGUGAUGAUGUCACAUGACACGUCUUGGCUCAAAUCUGUGGAAAAGCUCCUCCGAAUAUUGCGGAGUGAGCUCGAAUUCUGCGAUCGCAAAAUCCUGGAGGGACUGACUUGUGACUUGUGUAAAUUGUCUGUAAGCAUUAGUCAGUCUUCUUAGACAUAAAUGAAUACCAGAUUUCUUGUAGAAAUUGUUUCUUGCACAAGCAAUUUACGAAUACAUAAAUAAACAACUUGAUAAACGUGGCCCAAUGUGUGUCCCUAAUGAGUCUAAGGGAGUGUGAGAUGGGUUUGUCUUUGUUUCUCUCCCUGUCUUUCUCUUUGUUCAUAAUCUCUAAUGCGAAUACACCAUACUAUUACUCCACUGAGACAACCAGUGUGUUCCAGAGGUUUCAGCCUUGUUUACAUUGCCCUUUGAGCGGAAUUGAGAACUCCAGAAGCAAUGGAUUCGGAUAGUGUCAGUGCAGUCCUGUUCACAGACAAAGAACAGCCAUUCCCAGCUUACCUAGUGGGCUACAAGUCCUUCCCCUCCAUAUUCAAGCCGUCAUUCU